AUCCAGCCGACGAGUCCCAAAUAAGAGGAAACACGCAUCAAACUGGAU
Non-coding RNA from Schistosoma margrebowiei, 48 nucleotides. NCBI's taxonomy places the organism in Eukaryota, Metazoa, Platyhelminthes, Trematoda, Strigeidida, Schistosomatidae. The record is from Rfam.